CCUACGGGUGGCAGCAGUGGGGAAUAUUGGACAAUGGGCGAAAGCCUGAUCCAGCCAUGCCGCGUGUGUGAAGAAGGCCUUCGGGUUGUAAAGCACUUUCAGUGGGGAAGAAAGCCUUGGGGCUAAUACCCUCGAGGAAGGACAUCACCCACAGAAGAAGCACCGGCUAACUCCGUGCCAGCAGCCGCGGUAAUACGGAGGGUGCGAGCGUUAAUCGGAAUUACUGGGCGGAAAGCGCGCGUAGGCGGUCUGAUAAGCCGGUUGUGAAAGCCCCGGGCUCAACCUGGGAACGGCAUCCGGAACUGUCAGGCUAGAGUGCAGGAGAGGAAGGUAGAAUUCCCGGUGUAGCGGUGAAAUGCGUAGAGAUCGGGAGGAAUACCAGUGGCGAAGGCGGCCUUCUGGACUGACACUGACGCUGAGGUGCGAAAGCGUGGGUAGCAAACAGGAUUAGAUACCCCAGUAGUC
RNAcentral lists this ribosomal RNA (465 nucleotides) under Vreelandella stevensii. RNAcentral describes it as "partial 16S ribosomal RNA". It matches the Rfam family "Bacterial small subunit ribosomal RNA", at positions 338 to 795 of the family's 1533-position model. Lineage: Bacteria; Pseudomonadati; Pseudomonadota; Gammaproteobacteria; Oceanospirillales; Halomonadaceae. The record is from RNAcentral.